UGAUUCAAGUACAGAUAGAGGCAUUCUCCCUUCUACAACUAAUAACUUCUUUCCCUUGGAAGGAGGAGGACAAAAUAACAAAGGGAGCAGUACGCAUAUCCUUCCCUUAAAAAGAUAACUGAAAGACAAAAAAUUAACAACCAAAAUAGCCAGCCAUUAGCAUCAAAUGUCCAAACAUUGUCACAACCUACAUGACUGAGCUAUUCUCCUGCUCCAUAUCCUACUCGUCGUCGUCAUCUUCCUGCAAAGAAAUUGCGAACAACCCCAAAUUAGACCAACGCAAAAUUAUCAAUAACACAAACAUCAAUCAACAUUAAGCAAAUACUAACCUCC
RNAcentral lists this long non-coding RNA (333 nucleotides) under Populus tremula. Its description in RNAcentral is "long non-coding RNA (PTRE_LNC002281)". The record is from RNAcentral. Lineage: Eukaryota; Viridiplantae; Streptophyta; Magnoliopsida; Malpighiales; Salicaceae.